UUGUUGCUGAAUUGUCUGUGGGGUUUGCAAAAUGGGAACUCGAACAAAUUUCUACAAGAACCCAUCAAUCUCCUACAAAAAACGUUUAAGCAUCUCCUCCGUUCUUCAGAACCUCCAUGCUUACAACAUCGCCGCCGGCAAUGUUCCUCCCGCCGAUCCACCGCAAGCGACUUCCACCGCCAAUGUUCCUCCCAGCAAUCCACCGCAUCUCACUCCCUCCGCCAGACUCAAACGCAGCCGGAAUCCCGAGCCACCGGAAUUUCUACGCGAAUACCGUGACGAUGCCCCUUCCUCUAUGUCACACCACGAUUACAUCCAAAACAGAAGUCGUGAUAUCUUGUUCCUCACCAGGAAAGAAGUCGUUUCGUCUCGGAAUCACGAUCGCGUUGAAUUGACUGAAGAAGUUUUGGGAAACUCUAAUUCUACUCUUCCCUUGGUGGAUUAUGAUGCAAGUGAUGAAGAUACUCCUUCAGAAUGUGAAGAAACACAUACUCUUCUAAAUUCUGGUCAACAAGAAGAAUUUGAUGGAGUAAAAAAAAGCAGAAAUCAGCAGCGAUUCCCUGUCUCUGGGGAACCUGUUUGUCUUAUAUGUGGAAGAUAUGGCGAAUAUAUAUGCAACGAGACAGAUGAUGAUGUCUGUAGCAUGGAGUGCAAAAGUGAACUUCUGGAAAUUCUUAAACUCAAUGAGGGAUCCUCCCACAACCAAGUUAGAGAUAUCUCCUCAUCUGGAAUUAGUGCUGCUGUACCAGUUCCAGUUUUUGGUGAUGAUACCUGGGAUUAUAAUCAACAUCACUGGUCCAAAAAGACUUGUAGUCUUUCUACUUAUGAAUGUUGGAAAUGUCAAAGACCUGGCCACCUAGCUGAAGAUUGUAUGGUCACUGAGGGAAGUAAUAGAUCUAGUUCCAUUCCAAAGGAUCUUCUUCAACUGUAUAGAAGAUGCCACCAGAUUGGUAAAGACUUGUUAGCUGCAAACUGUAACGUGUGUCGCAGAUCAUCAAAUUUGGCAACAUGCCUUGAUUGUAGUAUUGUCCUUUGUGAUGGUACAUUGACUUGCAAAUAUGACGAUAAUGAAGCAUAUGUUACCAUAUUCAUAAGAAUGCCAGUAUUGAUGCUGUGCAACAACAAAUUAUGGAAGAUGUUUUUAAUGUUACCAUUUUGGAACAGUGUUGCUCUGUUGAGUUGAGUGAUAUAGGCAGGCCACUUGAUUGAGCAUAUAAGAACACACCCUUCCCAUCAAAAAUAUUAUUCACACAAGCUUAAACGUCUGGUUAAAUGCUGCAAGUCAACAUGCAAGGUCACUGACAUCAAGGAUCUCUUGGUUUGUCAUUAUUGCUUUGAUAAAGCCUUUGAAAAGUUCUAUGAUAUGUAUACUGCAACAUGGAAAGGAGCCGGGCUUGCAAUUAUGUGGGGUUCUAUAUGCUGUGAAGACCAUUUCACCUGGCACAGAAUGAAUUGUUUGAAUGCGAAUGUGGAAGAAAGUGCAUACAUUUUAAAACCCGAUGGCCAUAAAGGCAAGCGUACGCAACUUAGUGACUUCAUUUUUUGACGGUUGACAACACUUCGCAUUGCAACUAACAAUUAUAUUUGUAGCUAGUAACUGCUUAGAAGUUUAUUAAUCAGUUAGUUUGUGUGUUUGGAAAUGAUCUGUUAACGUGAUUUAUCCCGUCCAACAGCCCAAAAAUGUGCAAGAAAAGAAUUAUUUGCUUCGGUCAAGACGUGAAAAAUCACAUCCAAUUAUAUAUAUAUAUGGUAUCAUAUGAGAAUGAUCCAGUGUUAUGAAAA
Glycine soja is the source of this 1782-nucleotide RNA transcript. RefSeq lists it as uncharacterized. The record is from RefSeq and is a predicted model, not a curated record. The transcript is spliced from 16 exons. Lineage: Eukaryota; Viridiplantae; Streptophyta; Magnoliopsida; Fabales; Fabaceae.